RNAcentral lists this ribosomal RNA (307 nucleotides) under uncultured eukaryote. RNAcentral describes it as "partial 18S ribosomal RNA". It matches the Rfam family "Eukaryotic small subunit ribosomal RNA", at positions 1470 to 1796 of the family's 1831-position model. The record is from RNAcentral.
CCCUUAGACGUUCUGGGCCGCACGCGCGCUACACUGACGAAGGCAACGAGCUACUCUUCACCGAAAGGUGUGGGUAAUCUUUUGAAACUUCGUCGUGCUGGGGAUAGAUCCUUGCAAUUUUUGAUCUUAAACGAGGAAUUCCUAGUAAGCGCAAGUCAUCAACUUGCGUUGAUUACGUCCCUGCCCUUUGUACACACCGCCCGUCGCUAUUACCGAUUGAAUGGUUUAGUGAGGCCUUCGGAUCCGCGAUUUUAUUGUGGAGAAGUUGGACAAACUCAGUCAUUUAGAGGAAGUAAAAGUCGUAACA